GGGUAGAGCCUCCACUACGCCCCGGGAGAGAUCAGAUCUCUCCGGGGCGAGGAAACACCGCACACCCCGUAGAACCAUGGCCCCGUGAAGGGGCACGGCGAAUAGCCGUGGCUCCGGCACAGAAACGACACGGCCACCACACAGAUGGCGAUGAGACGGUGUGGGGUCUCCGGUGACGGGGGCCCGGUAACCCGUCGAGGACGGUGGUGGAUGCGUUGAAACGGCCGGUCCCAUGGGGUGCAAGGCCCCUGAAUUGUUUAGGGGGGAUGAGGUCUACGCGAUCCCCGGUGGGGGCCGCUUAGUCUAAUGUGGAGGUAUUUACAGAAUGCGGGUUAUGCUCUAUCC
This 345-nucleotide RNase P RNA is filed under the name Desulfurococcales archaeon ex4484_58. Its description in RNAcentral is "RNase P RNA component". It matches the Rfam family "Archaeal RNase P". From Rfam's summary of the family: Ribonuclease P (RNase P) is a ubiquitous endoribonuclease, found in archaea, bacteria and eukarya as well as chloroplasts and mitochondria. The record is from RNAcentral. Lineage: Archaea; Thermoproteati; Thermoproteota; Thermoprotei; Desulfurococcales.